GGGGCGCUCCUGCCGGGCCUUGGCUUGCGGGCCACAGCUUCAGACCCGGUGCCCCUCCGCCCAUUCGGGCUCGGCCCGGGGGCCCGGCCGCGCUCCCCGGAGAGGAGCCGAGGCCGGCGUGGAACCCCGGCGAUGCGGGCGGGGGACGCGCUGGAUGGGAGCAGGGGCUCAGACGCCAGCCUCCAAAUGGCACCUGCCCGUUGUCCCCCGACUGUUCGCCCGGCCUCUGCUUGGCUGGGAAGAGGGCAGGUGCGGGGCGUGUUGUACUUUUCACCGUUCCGCUGAAAUUGUCGUUGGGUGCAAGGUUUAAUCAACGACGUGCGCUCGCGCGUUUCCAACAACACAGGGCAAACUUUUUUUGACGCCCGGAUGCCGGGGGAGCCCGGGUGAAACUCAAGCAGCCUCCUUUUAAAGAAGCCUCUGGGGACUCUGGGGCAUAAGAGGCAAUGGCUAAUUUCUAAAUAACUGUGCAGGGAUCAGGGAGCGAGCUUUCUUUCCGCCACCAAGUUCGGCUCUCCUUUUACCCCCUCCAAAAAAAUGUGACUUGCUCUGGUCCUCGCAUCCCCUAGGCCCCUCCUUAAGGUUUUCUGCGCGGUCCCCGCCGCGGAGAAGGGUGCGUCUCCCGGACAUGGAAGACGCAGCAGCGAGACCUUCCUUUGUGCCUGCCCUUGGCUGUGAACUUUCCCGCGCGGUGGGUUCUCCUUUAAGAAAGUAGCGAUCUCUAUGAAUAUUUAAUGUCGAGCGCGGGCCGGCCGGGCGGAGGGGAGCCCGCGUCCAAGUCCCCGCAGCCGCGGUGGGGACCGGACGCUGGGGGCUCAGGCGCGCGGCCCGCCGCGUUCAUUUCCAUAAGAAAGCCGGCGUGGCGGCUGGAGGGAGGAUUCUGGCCCCUGCCGCCCUCCCCGCCCCACCCCCCAUAGCCGGCUUUCUGCUGGAAGCGGGCUGGCUCGGGAGCUCAGAGUCCCCAGUGUGCGCUCCUGUCUUUGAUGGUAUCGACAAAGUGUGGUUUCACGUGUUGCCCCAACUGAGGCCGGUUUCCUGUCUGUAUGCGGAGUAGAUGGAAGGACCGCGCUGGGUGAGUCUAGAACGCGGGGCGUGGGCAGCAGGCCCGGGGGCGGAGAGGGAGGGCCUCUGGCCAGAGGAGGUUCUCUCGCGGGCAGGGUUCUGCAAGGGGAGCCAGGUGGAAACGAAGACCCCGGCACAGAGGAGCAUGAGCUUGUGCGUGUGUGGGGGUCUGUGUGGGGGGGGGGCGUGGGGGGGGUGAUGGGAGACCAGGGGCCGAUGGUGGGAAGGUCUGUCGGGCCUAGCCGUGACCCUCUGUGAAGACCCGGGCAACUUUCCCUCCCUGCCCGCCGCUGACCCUCUUCCAGCGAAGCAAUAAAGUGAACUUGUUCAGAUCCUUGAUUCCGCGGGCGGUUCAGUCCUUUCUGCUUUGGUAUUGCAUUUCUUUCUGCUUUUCAAUGUGAACAGCCACGUGUCCUCAAUUCUAUAGUGUGUGUAUAUAUAUAUUGUACAGUGUGUGUGUAUAUAUUCUAUAAUGUGUGCACAUAUAUUCUCUAGUAUGUAUAUAAUGUAUCUAUAUGAACUUUCCUAGGUACUUUAUGAUCCCAUCUGGAUAAAUUAAAACCCAGAUCUGUAACGUUUAUUCUUAGAUAGUUUACAAAAGGCAGGGGGAAAAAUGUAUGAGACCCAUGUCUGCAAAUACAACAAAAGUACUUUCUCUUCUGCCUGAAAAAGUUGCCUGCAAAUGGGGUCCCUUCACUGCAUCUGGACCACCUGUAUUUCUCCAUGAAACUAAAUUGGUCACAGAUAAAGCACCCAUCAGAUCAAGCAAUUAAGUACCAAUUAUGACUAUUAAUGACUUUAUUACUAAUGAUUGGAGUUGAGGGCUCCCAACCAGCUCAAGGUAAUCAAGCGGGUUCAAAAUUCUGCUACCUCAGAUUUUUACAGCACUCCGCCCCGGUAAAUGAGGAAGGCGGGCAGAUGAUCUUCUCAAAGUGCUCCAGUAGGUAUCCCAUGGUCAAAGCUGAAUUUCUUUCUUUCAGGAAAGUUUAUUUCUCCUUCUGGGAAAUAACAGAGUCUUCAUUUCUGGCUGCAUCAACUUAUGCAAUGUGUCAUUGAUGGUGGGGGAGAUUUGGUUUGGAUGCAGAAUGGGGGGGGGGGAGUUGGAGGACAAGGAAAGUGCCUUCGCUCUCUGGUUCUUCUGGUAAAGCCUCAGAAGAUUUUAAGAAACAAGUGUUUUAAAUCUUCAGAUGGGGUGGCUGGGAGUUGAGGAAGUGAGAGAGGGUGCCCUCGGGGUUACGUUUAAAAUUGUCUUUUUGCUCCUGGGUUCAUGUGGUUUUAGCCCUUCCAAGCUGAGCGACUGUUCAGAAGAAAAGACUAGGGAGACUCAUCUGUUGGUGUAAAGACUGCUGUGGCUGAAAAUGAUUCACCACCCCUCCUGGCCUCUUUAUUGACACCCCUUCUCAUCCCAAAUGGAAAUCUAUGCUCAGUUCUGGGAUGGGAGGAGGCGGCAUGGGGGGAGGGGAGGAAUCCAUGACUGGUGGGCGUCCACAGCCAGGAGAGGAGUGGGCAGCCUGCAGGGUUUUGGCUGGCCACCGGAUCACAGACAGGCUAGGCAACUGAGCAGCUGGAGGUGUUGGUCACCCACUCACACCCCAUAGUUCGACUCUUCCUACCAGCCUGUCAGGAUGUUGGUGAGUUGGGGCAAUGACUUUGUGCGGGACAUCUCCCCAGCACCUCAGCUGGCUUCUGGUGGGAGCUCACAACAGCAGCACACAUCUGGUUCUGAUGGAUUUACCAGGCUGGUAGGGAGAUGUCCCGGCUGCAUGGCAGAAACCUGAGCUGCUGGGGACCAGCAAACCCCUCUGCUAAGCCGCAUAAAGGCUGGGAUAGUUUCAGAGUGCUGGCUGCUCCCUCCUGCUCUCAAUGUGAAGCCCAUGACCCCGCCCUGCUCUAUUCUGUUCUAGUUCAUUGACCUGCAGUGAGGCUCUCUUACACCUCAGCCAAGAGGCCAGCCCAGGUGGGAUCCCCCACAGGUGACCGUGUGGAGCGGGGUCAUCCUGAGACACCCAAGGGGUCCCAAAACCUUAGCUGAGUGAAAUGGGCCUAGGGUGGUCUCCCUUGCCUGGCUCAGGCUGUCGGCAGCCUACAGGAGACCGCCGUCCCUGUCGUCAUCAUCGUCGUCCUGUUACUGCAGCUCCUUUGAGGGGGCAGCGACCCCAGAGGCAGAUCUUCACACACAGCUCCAUCCUCAACAACAAAUCGCUGGCUGACCCUGAGCAUCCCAGAAAGAGGGGCUAGAGGCCAGGCAGCUGCCUUAACUCAGGCAGCUUGGGCCCUACCUCCCACUGAGCCUGGUGGUGGGCAAGGGCCAGGGCUUGGGAACAGUGCUCAGAACAUCUGUUGUCCCCCUUCCUCAGGACAGGAGCAGACAAGACUGGACAACACAUACCUGUGAAGCAGGGCAAGGGUGGAGGCGGGAAUUGGCCCCCCCAUCCUGCAUCCUCCAGGGUUCUAGGGCUCAGUGCUGGGAAAAAGUACACCCCCGCACACCCCAGUGGGGCCCUUUGAUCCUAUGGGGUGGCCUGGGACAGAAUACCAGAGGCCAUUUGGUCCCUCCCCCUUACCCUAGGAAGGCCCCGCUCCUUGCUCAUGGAGGACUCACUUGCUUUCUCAAGAAACCCAUUGGCAGAAUCUCGGGAGAGUUGGAGGCAAUUUUCACCAAUUUACUUACAACUCAUUUGCAAAUUGACAUCUGAAGAGGACAGCAAACCUGAUACCCAGAUAGAGCCCCUUGCGGUGUCGGAAAACUUCUCCCCUCCUGGUGGACCCCUGAAAGCCCCCUAAGUGGCCCCUACACAUUGUUCCAGAAGGCAGGUUAGCUGGAGAAAGGAGUUUGACCCAUCCCCUGCACCCAAGGAAAUACAAAUGAAUUUUGUUCUCAAAAGGAAAAGUGAAGAGCUUGAAACUUGAAACUAGCUUCAUCAAAGUCCUCUUGUCAGCGACUAUAACCCACCCCCCACCUCUUUUUCCUUUCUUCUUUGGGGCUUAAAGUUGCAUUUUUAGGGGGGUUUCCUUACUGUUGUUCAUGUCAGCAAAGCACUCACCCACUGCCCAGGAUGGAACUUUAGUUGGAAACCACACGCAUCAAAAAAUUCUCUUGAAAAUUUUCUGCUAUUCUUCCCAACUAGAGGAGUUGACAAGAUGUAGACACAUCAAGUUGCAGAAAAUACAGUGGACUGAUCAGCCAAAAUGCAUCUCAUUUGCACUUGUAUGCAGCCGGGGGUAGGAGCUAGUGUCAGUCACUCCUGCAGCCCUCUCCAUGCUGCACUGACUGGCUGGAAUUUCCGAGCAGGCCCCACUGCAGGGGCCAUUUGUGGGGUCGAAGCCCCACCCCAGCCCAGGCCAGCAGGGGCUGGGGGUGGGGGGAGCUGCAGGCAUCUGGAGGCCUGGCUUGAGGGCUGGAGCCAGCUUGGUCAGAGCUUCUGCUCUGGGCAGCUCAGGGUCUGGGAGACCUGGGGGGGUGGAUGCUGGCAGCUGGAUGCCUAGCUCCACAGCCAUCCCCCUCUGCCCCCUGCACCCCUGGGGGUGGAAUUAAAGAAACCCCACUAAGUAGAGAGAUAGUCACUGCCCAUGUUUUGCACCUGAUUUGACCGAUCUCCCAAGAUUUUAUCUUCAUCAUCCACUCUGUCCUCAUCACCUCUGCCUGAUGGGUUCCUCCUCCUCCUCUAAGUCCUGAACUUGGACUCUGAGCUUCUCACUCACUUCUUGCCUGUCUCAUUGAGUCCCACCCCUGCCCCCACCCCCACCCCCCAGUUCCCAGGGAAACGUGGGAGCUGCUCUGGGAGGCUUGGAACCCAGUGGGGGCGUUAGGGUGAAGUCACCGGCUUUUAAGGUGUCACUGCUCCCUACUCCCUUUUCUGGGCUGGUCUCAGCUCUUCCUGAUCUUGGUGCUAGGGCCCAACUCCUACCCACCAAUUCUUACCUAGCAGCUGGAAACCCCGGUGGUUCUGGGGCACAGGGUCACUGCUGGGGCUGGGAGCCUCUAGCAAGAGAGGUGGAGGGGCAGGAGGAACCGGGCUGAGUGCCUGGGCUUAGGCCAUGGGAAACGGUCACCUUCCUCCAGAGGGCCUGGCAGCAUGUUCUGGGGGCGUCCUUUCCACUCUGUCCCACAUGCUUUCCUUGCAAAGGCCUUGGUGACUCAGACAUCUGCCAACCCCAAAGCUCCCUUCUCCAGUCUGUUGUUGCCCCGAUGGGAAGUGAGUGCAAUGCCCUGGGUCUAUACCGCCAGGCCUCCAGGCAUCACCACCUUCCCUGGGGACAACAGGGAGCGAUGUGUGUUGCCCAGACUCACAGGAUGGCCAGGAACCAUCACCCAGCCACCCUGGCCCCGCGGCGGCCGGCAGGAGUUCAGGGCUGAGGCUGUGUCACAUGGGGGCAGACAGCCCCACAACACUGACUGCCCUGGCACAUCUGUGGGGCCCAGGGGAACAAUCGAUGGACUCUGUCCCGGGAGCUGGGGACACGCCUGGAAGGUGUGUGAUCCUGCAGAGAUCCUUGGUGGUGCAGCUUUUACAGGAAUCCUUUGUUACAGCUUUGUUAGCCUGCUCGCCUUCAGCGGUUCCCAGUCCAGUCCUGGGCCCCCGCAGUCCCAUCACCGCCCCUCCUCCACGCCCCUGCCGAGUGCCUGACCUGGCGCAGGGGACCUGCCCCUCACAUCCAUGGCCCCAUCCUGAUCCCCUCCUGCAAAAGGCUUGUUCCUGAAUCCCACCAUCCCUCCGGGCUUGGGGCAAAUGAACAGGGUUUGCAUCCCCUUCGCCUCUGGGGCGGGGGUCUCCUGAAAGAACAGGCUUUUGGAAUGUGACCUCCGGCUGGGCGGUGGACUCUAGCUGCUUGUGCAAGAGCUGCUCUCUUGCCACAGGCCACAGGUGGGGGUGUGCUCAGCAGGGCUAUGGGUACAGGUAACCUGCCCUCUCACACUGCAAGGAUUUUGACAGAAAGAGCAGGGCGAAGAUAACCUGGCUAGGAACUAACUUGGCUCCUUGGGGACACAGAGCACCCACAGCCCAGUAUUCCUGGGUUGGGUUUGCCCUCCCAGCCCCCAAACUAGGUAGGGCUCUUCUUUUGCCCAAGUACAGCUGGAGGCAGGGUGUUUCAGAGGGUGCAGUUAAUGACCUUGACAGGCACAGAAGCUUGCAUGCAGGAUCCUAUAAGGCCAUGCAUUUCCCCUUUCUCCACAGCUUUUCUGUUUAAUUUGUCUUCAUUCCUUCUUUCUAGGCCUUUCUGCCUGCCUGGAGUCAUCUGGAGAGAAAUCAAGUGUGAGCACCUCUCCCGCAGAAAGUUCUUGCAAGGUUCCAGUCGACUAAAUGAGCUUGCCUUCUGCCAGGAGUAAGGCAGUCCUGCAAGACAGAACCAAAGUGCCAUUCCCCAGGAAGCUCUUCUUUGUCAGAACAUCCCUGGUCCUUUUGUUUUUGUUUCUGAAUUAAAAAGAUGUGUUUGCCUGCC
This 6504-nucleotide long non-coding RNA is filed under the name Sus scrofa (pig). Its description in RNAcentral is "lncRNA (ENSSSCG00030014257.1)". The record is from RNAcentral. Lineage: Eukaryota; Metazoa; Chordata; Mammalia; Artiodactyla; Suidae.